GGCGAUGUCAGCUAAAAAAAGCUUUUGGGCCCAUACCCCGAACACGACGGUUAAAAUCCGCCCGCCGCCA
This 70-nucleotide transfer RNA is filed under the name Pethia gelius (golden barb). Its description in RNAcentral is "tRNA-Met". It matches the Rfam family "tRNA". From Rfam's summary of the family: Transfer RNA (tRNA) molecules are approximately 80 nucleotides in length. Their secondary structure includes four short double-helical elements and three loops (D, anti-codon, and T loops). Further hydrogen bonds mediate the characteristic L-shaped molecular structure. tRNAs have two regions of fundamental functional importance: the anti-codon, which is responsible for specific mRNA codon recognition, and the 3' end, to which the tRNAs corresponding amino acid is attached (by aminoacyl-tRNA synthetases). tRNAs cope with the degeneracy of the genetic code in two manners: having more than one tRNA (with a specific anti-codon) for a particular amino acid; and 'wobble' base-pairing, i.e. permitting non-standard base-pairing at the 3rd anti-codon position. The record is from RNAcentral. Lineage: Eukaryota; Metazoa; Chordata; Actinopteri; Cypriniformes; Cyprinidae.